AUGUGCAUGCCAUUGUCAUGGUUAUUACAUGCAUUUAAACCCAAAUUUGGGUCGACCCGUCUAUUCCGAUGGGUCGGUGGUGUCCGGCUGCCCUGGCUCACUCAAAAAAUAGAAGUGGCGGCCAACGGGUGUCUCCAGCAUGGCUGGUUUCCAGAUGAAGUGCAGACUGAUGCCAUGAUAAUUAUAGUUCUAAAUUUGGGUAUCUUCUGCUUACCCAAGCAUGCUUUCAUUCCUAUACACAAGCAACCCGGGAUAACCGUCUUUAGUAGGAUGCUCUUCGGCUCCAUGCACCUUAUGUCGUAUGACUACGCUAGAAGUAACUCAGAGGUUGGCACUAAUGUGCUCACCACCUCAGAUGGUAGACUACUCACUUCAGCGGCUCGUCUAGCAAAGAUAAACAUAAACACUAUUGUUGAUUCUUCAGCCGAUACCAUAGUUCUGCACCAUGAACACCGAGGUGUGGUGGACGCACGGUACUCCAGGCUGAAGGAGAUUACCCAACAACUUUCAGAUGAAGGGUGUAACGUUGUAACAUGCGAAAGGCAGGCAAUAAUUAUAGGUCUAAAUUUGGGUAUCUUCUACUUACCCAAGCAUGCUUUCAUUCCUCUACACAACCUACCCGGGAUAAUCAUCUUCAGCAGGAUGCUCUUCGGCUCCAAGCACCUUAUGUCGUAUGACUGGGCUAGAACCGAUAACAUAGUUCUGCACCAUGAAAACCAAGGCAACCUCCACUGCUUCAUGGCUCUUACCCCAUGCGCUAUUUUCAAUGUGAUGGUGUGGUGGAUGCACGGUACUCCAGGCUCAAGGAGAUUACCCAACAACUUUCAGAUGAAGGGUGUAACGAUGUCAUAUGUAAACACGAGACUAAAUAUGCUCACAAAUGAGCAUGCCAUGAUAAGUAUAGUUCUGAGUUUGGGUAUCUUCUGCUUACCCAAGCAUGGUUUCAUUCCUCUACACAAGCAACAAGGGAUAACCGUCUUCAGAAGGAUGCUGUUCGGCUCCAUGCACCUUAUGUCGUAUGACUGGGCUAGAAGUAACUAG
Molecule: ribosomal RNA, 1041 nt
Filed under: Triticum aestivum (bread wheat)
Lineage: Eukaryota; Viridiplantae; Streptophyta; Magnoliopsida; Poales; Poaceae
Description: partial small subunit ribosomal RNA
Source: RNAcentral